Molecule: ribosomal RNA, 497 nt
Filed under: uncultured bacterium
Lineage: Bacteria
Description: partial 16S ribosomal RNA
Rfam family: Bacterial small subunit ribosomal RNA
Source: RNAcentral
GAUGAACGCUGGCGGCGUGCCUAAUACAUGCCAGUCGAGCGAACAGACGAGGUGCUUGCUCCUCUGACGUUAGCGGCGGACGGGUGAGUAACACGUGGAUAACCUACCUAUAAGACUGGGAUAACUUCGGGAAACCGGAGCUAAUACCGGAUAAUAUAUUUAACCGCAUGGUUCAAUAGUGAAAGACGGUUUUGCUGUCACUUAUAGAUGGAUCCGCGCCGCGUUAGCUAGUUGGUAAGGUAACGGCUUACCAAGGCAACGAUGCGUAGCCGACCUGAGAGGGUGAUCGGCCACACUGGAACGGAGACAGGGUCCAGACUCCUACGGGAGGCAGCAGUAGGGAAUCUUCCGCAAUGGGCGAAAGCCUGACGGAGCAACGCCGCGUGAGUGAUGAAGGUCUUCGGAUCGUAAAACUCUGUUAUUAGGGAAGAACAAAUGUGUAAGUAACUAUGCACGUCUUGACGGUACCUAAUCAGAAAGCCACGGCUAACUACGUG